RNAcentral lists this transfer RNA (73 nucleotides) under Cyananthus lobatus. RNAcentral's name for it is "tRNA-Thr". It matches the Rfam family "tRNA". Rfam says of the family: Transfer RNA (tRNA) molecules are approximately 80 nucleotides in length. Their secondary structure includes four short double-helical elements and three loops (D, anti-codon, and T loops). Lineage: Eukaryota; Viridiplantae; Streptophyta; Magnoliopsida; Asterales; Campanulaceae. The record is from RNAcentral.
GCCUGCUUAGCACCACGGUUAUAGCGUCGUAUUUGUAAUGGGGAGGUCAUCGGUUCGAUUCCGAGAGUAGGCU